Molecule: small nucleolar RNA, 123 nt
Filed under: Macaca mulatta (Rhesus monkey)
Lineage: Eukaryota; Metazoa; Chordata; Mammalia; Primates; Cercopithecidae
Source: RNAcentral
CUUCUGUUGUUGAGUAUGACUCCUGUGGCCUGGCCGGGGGUUCAGGCUGCAGACCCAGAGCUUCUGCUUGUGCAUAACUGGGACCCGCAGGCGUGGGGGUCCUUUCAACUGCCAGCGAUAAGG